AUUAUAUUAUUUAUUUAUUAUAUAAUAUUAUUCUAUGUACUUAUUUAUAGAAAUAACUUUUUUUUAAGUAAUUUUUAUUGAAAUAAUUAUUUUAAAUUAUAGUUUAUUUUACUGUAGAGGGUUAUUUAUUGAUUAUUUUAAAAGUAAAUUUAUUAUAUUGUACCUUUUGUAUCAGGGUUUAUUAAAAUAAUUAUUUUAAUAAAUAAGUUCCCGAAUUUAUAAGAGUUAUUAGUUAAAUUGUUAUUCAAUGUUUCAUAAUUGUUAAUAAAUUUCUAAUAGAUGUGAUAUGCUAUUCAUUUAUAAUAUAUCUGGUUUUUUAAUAAUUGAAUUUAAUUCAGAAUUAAUAAAUUUAAUAUAUACUUAUAUUUUUAUUAAAUUAUUAAUUUAAGAUCAAGGGGGAUAAGCUCUUUGAUUAUUUUAUAACUUUAAUUUUAUUUAAAGGUUAAUUUGUAGGAUUAAUAAUUUCCAUCAUUUAUUUUUUUAUAAUUAAUUAUUAUAUGGUUUUUAUUUUGUGGAAAGUUUAAAUUUUUAUUAAAAUGUAUUUUUUAAUAUUUAAAAAUUAGUAAUAAUGGUAGAAUUAGUAUAUUUUGUUAAUUAAUGUAUAGUAACUCGGCAAUUUAUUUUUCCACCUGUUUAGCAAAAACAUGUCUUAAUGUUAUAUUUAUUAAGUCUGGCCUGCUCAAUGAUUAUAAAUUAAAUAGCCGCGGUAUUUUGACUGUGCAAAGGUAGCAUAAUCAUUUGUCUUUUAAUUGAAGGCUUGAAUGAAUGGUUUGAUGAGAAAAUGACUUUCUUUACAUUAUGGAUUGAAUUUAAUGUUUUAGUUAAAAAGCUAAAAUAUAAAAGUGGGACGAGAAGACCCUAUAGAAUUUUAUUUCUUAUUGAUUAUUAAUUUUUUGGUUAAUAUAUUAUUCUUAUUUAAUAGGGAAUUUUGUUGGGGUGACAGUGGGAUUUUUAUAACUCCUAUAAUCAAAUAUUUACAUAUCAGUAUUUUAAAGAUCCUUUUUUUUGAUAAUUAGAUUAAAUUACCUUAGGGAUAACAGCGUAAUUUCUUUGGAGAGUUCUUAUCAAUAAAGGAGUUUGCGACCUCGAUGUUGGAUUAAAUUUAGUUUUAAGUGCAGAAGCUUAAUUUCUAGGUCUGUUCGACCUUUAAAUAUUUACAUGAUCUGAGUUCAGACCGGCGUGAGCCAGGUCGGUUUCUAUCUUCUUAUCUUAUUUAUACGAAUUAGUACGAAAGGACCCUUCGUGUCAAAUUAUUUGUUUAUAUUUGAAUAUUUUUAAC
RNAcentral lists this ribosomal RNA (1279 nucleotides) under Erthesina fullo. Its description in RNAcentral is "16S ribosomal RNA". The stretch from base 842 to 1205 matches the Rfam family "Archaeal large subunit ribosomal RNA", at positions 2151 to 2715 of the family's 2987-position model. The record is from RNAcentral. Lineage: Eukaryota; Metazoa; Arthropoda; Insecta; Hemiptera; Pentatomidae.